Molecule: ribosomal RNA, 495 nt
Filed under: uncultured bacterium
Lineage: Bacteria
Description: partial 16S ribosomal RNA
Rfam family: Bacterial small subunit ribosomal RNA
Source: RNAcentral
UGAACGCUGGCGGCGUGCCUAAUACAUGCAAGUCGAGCGAACAGACGAGGAGCUUGCUCCUCUGCCGUUAGCGGCGGACGGGUGAGUAACACGUGGAUAACCUACCUAUAAGACUGGGAUAACUUCGGGAAACCGGAGCUAAUACCGGAUAAUAUAUUGAACCGCAUGGUUCAAUAGUGAAAGACGGUUUUGCUGUCACUUAUAGAUGGAUCCGCGCCGCAUUAGCUAGUUGGUAAGGUAACGGCUUACCAAGGCAACGAUGCGUAGCCGACCUGAGAGGGUGAUCGGCCACACUGGAACUGAGACACGGUCCAGACUCCUACGGGAGGCAGCAGUAGGGAAUCUUCCGCAAUGGGCGAAAGCCUGACGGAGCAACGCCGCGUGAGUGAUGAAGGUCUUCGGAUCGUAAAACUCUGUUAUUAGGGAAGAACAAAUGUGUAAGUAACUAUGCACGUCUUGACGGUACCUAAUCAGAAAGCCACGGCUAACUACGUG